This 700-nucleotide ribosomal RNA is filed under the name uncultured Gammaproteobacteria bacterium. Its description in RNAcentral is "bacterial SSU rRNA". It matches the Rfam family "Bacterial small subunit ribosomal RNA", at positions 90 to 786 of the family's 1533-position model. Lineage: Bacteria; Pseudomonadati; Pseudomonadota; Gammaproteobacteria. The record is from RNAcentral.
GACGAGCGGCGGACGGGUGAGUAAUGUCUGGGAAACUGCCUGAUGGAGGGGGAUAACUACUGGAAACGGUAGCUAAUACCGCAUAACGUCGCAAGACCAAAGAGGGGGACCUUCGGGCCUCUUGCCAUCAGAUGUGCCCAGAUGGGAUUAGCUAGUAGGUGGGGUAACGGCUCACCUAGGCGACGAUCCCUAGCUGGUCUGAGAGGAUGACCAGCCACACUGGAACUGAGACACGGUCCAGACUCCUACGGGAGGCAGCAGUGGGGAAUAUUGCACAAUGGGCGCAAGCCUGAUGCAGCCAUGCCGCGUGUAUGAAGAAGGCCUUCGGGUUGUAAAGUACUUUCAGCGAGGAGGAAGGCAUUGUGGUUAAUAACCACAGUGAUUGACGUUACUCGCAGAAGAAGCACCGGCUAACUCCGUGCCAGCAGCCGCGGUAAUACGGAGGGUGCAAGCGUUAAUCGGAAUUACUGGGCGUAAAGCGCACGCAGGCGGUCUGUCAAGUCGGAUGUGAAAUCCCCGGGCUCAACCUGGGAACUGCAUUCGAAACUGGCAGGCUAGAGUCUUGUAGAGGGGGGUAGAAUUCCAGGUGUAGCGGUGAAAUGCGUAGAGAUCUGGAGGAAUACCGGUGGCGAAGGCGGCCCCCUGGACAAAGACUGACGCUCAGGUGCGAAAGCGUGGGGAGCAAACAGGAUUAGAUACC